Molecule: small RNA, 26 nt
Filed under: Bombyx mori (domestic silkworm)
Lineage: Eukaryota; Metazoa; Arthropoda; Insecta; Lepidoptera; Bombycidae
Description: ovarian small RNA-24691
Source: RNAcentral
UCAAGAAUAGGCGUGGUGUCUGCAAC